Molecule: transfer RNA, 41 nt
Filed under: Lejeunea flava
Lineage: Eukaryota; Viridiplantae; Streptophyta; Jungermanniopsida; Porellales; Lejeuneaceae
Also listed under: 4 other names
Description: partial tRNA-Phe
Rfam family: tRNA
About the family: Transfer RNA (tRNA) molecules are approximately 80 nucleotides in length. Their secondary structure includes four short double-helical elements and three loops (D, anti-codon, and T loops).
Source: RNAcentral
GCCGGGAUAGCUCAGUCGGUAGAGCAGGGGACUGAAAAUCC